UACGUAGGGUGCGAGCGUUAAUCGGAAUUACUGGGCGUAAAGCGUGCGUAGGCGGUUGGCAAAGUCAGCUGUGAAAGCCCCGGGCUUAACCUGGGAAUGGCGGUUGAAACUAGUCGACUAGAAUCUGGCAGAGGGGGGUGGAAUUCCACGUGUAGCAGUGAAAUGCGUAGAUAUCGAGAGGAACAUCAGUGGCGAAAGCGAAUCUCUGGGCAACAUCUGACGCUGAGGCACGAAAGCCAGGGGAGCAAACGGG
This 253-nucleotide ribosomal RNA is filed under the name uncultured bacterium. Its description in RNAcentral is "partial 16S ribosomal RNA". It matches the Rfam family "Bacterial small subunit ribosomal RNA", at positions 524 to 776 of the family's 1533-position model. The record is from RNAcentral.